This 450-nucleotide ribosomal RNA is filed under the name uncultured bacterium. RNAcentral's name for it is "partial 16S ribosomal RNA". It matches the Rfam family "Bacterial small subunit ribosomal RNA", at positions 354 to 796 of the family's 1533-position model. The record is from RNAcentral.
GUGGGGAAUUUUGGACAAUGGGGGCAACCCUGAUCCAGCCAUGCCGCGUGCGGGAAGAAGGCCUUCGGGUUGUAAACCGCUUUUGUCAGGGAAGAAAUCCUUUGGGUUAAUACCUCGGAGGGAUGACGGUACCUGAAGAAUAAGCACCGGCUAACUACGUGCCAGCAGCCGCGGUAAUACGUAGGGUGCGAGCGUUAAUCGGAAUUACUGGGCGUAAAGCGUGCGCAGGCGGUUUUGUAAGAUCGAUGUGAAAUCCCCGGGCUCAACCUGGGAACGGCAUUGGUGACUGCAAGGCUGGAGUGCGGCAGAGGGGGAUGGAAUUCCGCGUGUAGCAGUGAAAUGCGUAGAUAUGCGGAGGAACACCGAUGGCGAAGGCAAUCCCCUGGGCCUGCACUGACGCUCAUGCACGAAAGCGUGGGGAGCAAACAGGAUUAGAAACCCGAGUAGUCC